RNAcentral lists this transfer RNA (73 nucleotides) under Cavia porcellus (domestic guinea pig). It matches the Rfam family "tRNA". From Rfam's summary of the family: Transfer RNA (tRNA) molecules are approximately 80 nucleotides in length. Their secondary structure includes four short double-helical elements and three loops (D, anti-codon, and T loops). Lineage: Eukaryota; Metazoa; Chordata; Mammalia; Rodentia; Caviidae. The record is from Rfam by way of RNAcentral.
GGGGAUGUAGCUCAAAAGUUAGAGCACUUGUCUGGCAUGCAUAAGGCUCUGAGUUCAAUCCUCAGUACUGCAA